CCGCGAUUCCCGCAGCAGAAAAAUUGGCAUUGACGCUGCGAUUUCUCAGCACUGGAGAGUCUUACGUGAGUUUGGAUUACCAGACCCGUUUAUCCAAAUCUUCAAUUUCCAGUAUAGUUCCUGAGGUAUGCAGUGCCCUUUAUAACAAAUUGAAAUCGUCGUAUUUAAAGUUUCCAAACAGCAAUUCAGAAUGGGAGGCCAUUGCAAAAGAAUUUGCAGUUAAAUGGCAAUUCCCCAACUGCAUUGGCGCGUUAGAUGGUAAGCAUAUAACUUUUCGUCCAUCACGUU
Anastrepha ludens (Mexican fruit fly) is the source of this 288-nucleotide long non-coding RNA. RefSeq lists it as uncharacterized. The record is from RefSeq and is a predicted model, not a curated record. NCBI's taxonomy places the organism in Eukaryota, Metazoa, Arthropoda, Insecta, Diptera, Tephritidae. The transcript has 3 exons.